This 492-nucleotide ribosomal RNA is filed under the name uncultured bacterium. RNAcentral describes it as "partial 16S ribosomal RNA". It matches the Rfam family "Bacterial small subunit ribosomal RNA", at positions 29 to 507 of the family's 1533-position model. The record is from RNAcentral.
AGUGAACGCUGGCGGUAGGCCUAACACAUGCAAGUCGAACGGCAGCACAGUAAGAGCUUGCUCUUACGGGUGGCGAGUGGCGGACGGGUGAGGAAUACAUCGGAAUCUACUUUUUCGUGGGGGAUAACGUAGGGAAACUUACGCUAAUACCGCAUACGACCUACGGGUGAAAGCAGGGGAUCUUCGGACCUUGCGCGAUUGAAUGAGCCGAUGUCGGAUUAGCUAGUUGGCGGGGUAAAGGCCCACCAAGGCGACGAUCCGUAGCUGGUCUGAGAGGAUGAUCGGCCACACUGGAACUGAGACACGGUCCAGACUCCUACGGGAGGCAGCAGUGGGGAAUAUUGGACAAUGGGCGCAAGCCUGAUCCAGCCAUCCCGCGUGUGUGAAGAAGGCCUUCGGGUUGUAAAGCCCUUUUGUUGGGAAAGAAAAGCAGCAGGUUAAUACCCCGCUGUUCUGACGGUACCGAAAAAAUAAGCACCGGCUAACUUCGUG